Molecule: transfer RNA, 94 nt
Filed under: Chloroflexota bacterium
Lineage: Bacteria; Bacillati; Chloroflexota
Description: Chloroflexi bacterium (anaerobic digester metagenome) tRNA-Sec
Rfam family: Selenocysteine transfer RNA
Source: RNAcentral
GGGAGUGGAUAGGUCCCGGUGGGCCUCCCGGUCUUCAAAAUCGGUGUCGGGUCGCGUUGCGAGCCGCGGUGGGUUCGACUCCCAUCCAUUCCCG